CUGAGCGGAGCCAAUCGAGCAUAACGUCACAUAAUAUGUCCUCUUUGGAUAUAUAUAUGUAGAAGGUAUUGUGAUUAUGAUGAUAAUUAUUUUAUUCUUUCGAGCAUAGAGAAACGAAAAUAACUAAUAUUUUUUUCAAUAAUACCGAGAGAUAUUGGCACAAGUAUCAAACCACAUCAUAUCGUCGAAUUCGAUUCGCUAUUAUACGUACUUGUAAAGUUCUUAUUCACGACGUCAACAAUGAAAGUUUAAGCUAGAGCUUGAACAUUUGAAUAUGGUGCCAUUGUAAUGAUGAGCAAUUGCGGGUUUAGCAUAAUAAUGAACAUUAGCUGCCGCAUUCGUGAUCGAAAACAGCAACACUUUUAUCGCAAGAAAUACAUACGAUCGAGAUCUCGCACAGCUCCAGCCAACUCAUCUUCAUAUCGCCGUUGAAACGAAAUAAUCUAGAAAGUACAUUUUCAAGCAGCUCAGAUAGAAGUUAAUAAUUAACAUGUUCUUUCCGAAAAUUACACCAGUAGAUAAAUCUAUAAAAUUCCUAAU
Molecule: long non-coding RNA, 540 nt
Organism: Topomyia yanbarensis
Lineage: Eukaryota; Metazoa; Arthropoda; Insecta; Diptera; Culicidae
Exons: 2
Source: RefSeq, a predicted model, not a curated record